GACGAACGCUGGCGGCGUGCUUAACACAUGCAAGUCGAACGGAAAGGCCCUGCUUUUGUGGGGUGCUCGAGUGGCGAACGGGUGAGUAACACGUGAGUAACCUGCCCUUGACUUUGGGAUAACUUCAGGAAACUGGGGCUAAUACCGGCUAGGAGCUCCUGCUGCAUGGUGGGGGUUGGAAAGUUUCGGCGGUUGGGGAUGGACUCGCGGCUUAUCAGCUUGUUGGUGGGGUAGUGGCUUACCAAGGCUUUGACGGGUAGCCGGCCUGAGAGGGUGACCAGCGACAUUGGGACUGAGAGACGGACCAGACUCCUACGGGAGGCAGCAGUGGGGAAUAUUGCACAAUGGGCGCAAGCCUGAUGCAGCAGCGCCGCGUGCGGGAUGACGGCCUUCGGGGUGUAAACCGCUUUCGCCUGUGACGAAGCGUGAGUGACGGUAAUGGGUAAAGAAGCACCGGCUAACUACGUG
This 468-nucleotide ribosomal RNA is filed under the name uncultured bacterium. RNAcentral's name for it is "partial 16S ribosomal RNA". It matches the Rfam family "Bacterial small subunit ribosomal RNA", at positions 28 to 507 of the family's 1533-position model. The record is from RNAcentral.